Molecule: unclassified non-coding RNA, 683 nt
Filed under: Melitaea cinxia (Glanville fritillary)
Lineage: Eukaryota; Metazoa; Arthropoda; Insecta; Lepidoptera; Nymphalidae
Description: misc RNA ENSMCXG00005018526.1
Source: RNAcentral
AUUUUUCUUGCUUUUAAUAUGAAAGUUUUAGUAAAAGGUUUGUUAUUUAUCCUAGUUUGUUAUACAGUGUAAUUUUGAUGCUUUGAGAAGAGUGAUUUUUGUAUAUGAGACAAAAUAUCACACUAUCACGAGCGGGGUAAAAUGUGCCGUUCACGUGGGGCUGGUUUUGCCGCGGCACAACCAACCCCUAAGCAACCUUUAUUGUAUAAAUCGACCCUCACAAAGUAUAGACAACUUGCCUGUCUCUCGAAAUAAUCGAGAAAGGACUCCUGAAUAUCUUGAUGAGUCAAAUUAUGUGGGUAGCAAUGUUGAGAUUGAAACUAGUCAACCAUCAGGUAAUCAACAAGAGAUACGUCAGUGCUUUCAAGAGCCUAUCCCUUGCUGCAGCUUCCAGGAGCCUAUCCCUUGCUGCAGCUUCCAGCUUCCUCAGUCAGCUGAUAACAACACAGGAAAUAAAACUACAGAAAAUUUCUCACCAGAGCUAAUAAGACCUCUUGCCUAAAGCAUCUCCUAGAUUAACUGCACAUAGUAAAGGACGUAAAAGAAAGACAGCUGUUCUUACGGACACUCCAGAGAAAAAUGCUUUGGCCGAAGAGCAGGCUACUAAAAAGAAGAAGAAAGAAAGUGAAACUAAAAAGAAAGUUAAGGGAAAAGGCAAAGGAAAAGGCAAACAAAUAAAAAAA